CAAUAGCGUAUAUUAAAGCUGUUGCGGUUAAAAAGCUCGUAGUUGGAUUUCUGUCAAGGACAACUGGUCCGCCCUCCGGGUGAGCACAUAGUUUGGUCUUGGCAUCUUGCUGGAAACUGUUGCUGCACUUGGCUGUGUGGCGCAGCGUCCAGCACUUUCACUUUGAGGAAAUUGGAGUGUUUCAAGCAGGCACAUGCCUUUGGACACAGUAGCAUGGAAUAAUUAGAUUGGGCUUUUGUUCCAAUUUGUCGGUUUCUGGAGCUGAGGUGAGAAUUAAUGGGGAUUGUUGGGGGCAUCCGAAUUUAGCCGUCAGAGGUGAAAUUCUUGGAUCUGCUAAAGACGGACAACUGCGAAAGCGUUUGCCCAGGAUGUUUUCAUUGA
Molecule: ribosomal RNA, 381 nt
Filed under: uncultured eukaryote
Lineage: Eukaryota
Description: partial 18S ribosomal RNA
Rfam family: Eukaryotic small subunit ribosomal RNA
Source: RNAcentral